CCUGAUGUUCCGUCAUCAGUAGCCUACCGGCACAUGCGGGACUGGUAACGGUCCGGUUUGAAGCUGCCGGGACAAUGUAGCCGGGCCUUCGGGCCAUGCCGAUGUCGUGAGGCUGAGGCAUCUUCUGCGAGCAUCAAUGCGGAUGGGGCG
Molecule: non-coding RNA, 150 nt
Organism: Rhizobium freirei PRF 81
Lineage: Bacteria; Pseudomonadati; Pseudomonadota; Alphaproteobacteria; Hyphomicrobiales; Rhizobiaceae
Source: Rfam